GCCCUAGUAGCUCAGGGGAUAGAGCAUCCGACUUCUAAUCGGAAGGUCGCAGGUCCGAAUCCUGCCUAGGGCACCA
RNAcentral lists this transfer RNA (76 nucleotides) under bacterium. RNAcentral describes it as "tRNA-Arg". It matches the Rfam family "tRNA". Rfam says of the family: Transfer RNA (tRNA) molecules are approximately 80 nucleotides in length. Their secondary structure includes four short double-helical elements and three loops (D, anti-codon, and T loops). Further hydrogen bonds mediate the characteristic L-shaped molecular structure. tRNAs have two regions of fundamental functional importance: the anti-codon, which is responsible for specific mRNA codon recognition, and the 3' end, to which the tRNAs corresponding amino acid is attached (by aminoacyl-tRNA synthetases). tRNAs cope with the degeneracy of the genetic code in two manners: having more than one tRNA (with a specific anti-codon) for a particular amino acid; and 'wobble' base-pairing, i.e. permitting non-standard base-pairing at the 3rd anti-codon position. The record is from RNAcentral.